GGGUGCGUAGCUCAGUCCGGUAGAGCAGGGGCCUUUUAAGCCCAGGGUCGUAGGUUCAAUUCCUGCCGCACCUA
RNAcentral lists this transfer RNA (74 nucleotides) under Candidatus Uhrbacteria bacterium. RNAcentral describes it as "tRNA-Lys". It matches the Rfam family "tRNA". From Rfam's summary of the family: Transfer RNA (tRNA) molecules are approximately 80 nucleotides in length. Their secondary structure includes four short double-helical elements and three loops (D, anti-codon, and T loops). Lineage: Bacteria; Candidatus Uhriibacteriota. The record is from RNAcentral.